This is a non-coding RNA of Lepisosteus oculatus (spotted gar), 1232 nucleotides long. NCBI's taxonomy places the organism in Eukaryota, Metazoa, Chordata, Actinopteri, Semionotiformes, Lepisosteidae. The record is from RefSeq and is a predicted model, not a curated record.
CAGGCCUGAUGGAAGACAACAUGUGUGGAGACUCUGUGAAAUAAAGCCUUGCCAAUGUCCAGACUCAAAUGUGAACAUACCAAGGAAACAAAUUUGGAGAAUUGUCAAGAAUCAGUGGGGGAUUUACAACGCAGGGCUGAAAGAUGCCAUACUUUUUGGAUUGCAUGAUUGGCAUGAAACAACCUGGGGUCAUUGUUACGCCCCGGCAGGAAGCAGUUAGCAUCCAGAUGUUGCCCCAGGCACCCAGCACGUUUCAGCUGCUCAAGAAUAGUUUGAAUGUAGGACUCUGUGACUGGGGUACGCUUUGUUACAGUACAAAUAAAUAUGUUUCACACUGACGGUCUGUAGUAGCUUUAAAACUACAGAACGUGCACUAAGGAAAAAUAAGUGUUGCCUUAUGAUAAUGUGCAAGAAGAAGCGCAGAAGAAGAGGGCAGAAGACUGAAAUUUCAGUCCCAUCCCCCAAGCAAAACUGCCCAUUUCAAAUAACAAACACAGUGGGACAUUAAACCCCUACCCUUUGUAACAGACAUAAUGUAAGUUAAAGAAGUUUGAAUAGGGAGCUGCGUUGCAUGUGUUGGCUGCAAUGGAACACAUGAAAGUUAAAUUCAUGCUGAAAGGAACAGAAUGGGGACACAACGUUUCUCCUCUAUAACUCGUCAGCAGACAGAAAAAUUCCCCCAGUGCCACAAUGUUCUCUAUGCCCUUCUAGUGUCUACUUUCUACGGAGUAAUCAUGUAACAUAAGGGAACAGCGCACAUACAGUAAUUACAUUAACUACCAGGAAGAAAAAGGGCAGCAAAAAAUGUGUACAAAUAAAAAAAUUGAUUUUAAAUUUUAUCAGUUAAAAAUAUACAUAGUGGCAUUAAAAUUUGUGUUCAAAACUAAGUGCUGUAUACAUGUAACAACUCAAUUGCGGCAUCUUUAAAUUUUCUUGCUAUUUCCGAAGAACCUCAAGAUUGUUGGCCUGGAGGUUCAUGAAUGUUAUUACUUAAUAUUCGGAAAUGUGAAUAUAAUUUACAAAUUAAUUUUAUCAUUAAAUUAUUUAUUUCAUUUAAUAGAGAAUUGAUAGUGAAUUUUUUCGUAACCGUAAUUGUUCAUGAAUUUUUCCUCACAGACGAAUCGCAUGAAGUCAUAUCCACAGAUAUGCCAAAACAAUAGCAUACACAUCAAUGAUCUGUAUACUCUAUAAGUAUAUUGUAUAUACAGAAAGUACAGUAUGAUGCCAUAUUG